GCCGCACAGGGGUCCUGCACCCAGUGCUGGGGCUCCCAAGGGUGCUGGGGCUCUCAAGGGUGCUGGCAAAGUGGAGCGGGUGGAGAAAGGACACAGGGAUUCAGGGGCUGAAGGAAAUGUUGGCCACUGAGACCCAUCGAGCUCUGGCUGUUCAGCAUCUCAGAACCAACCCCAGGGGUGACUCUGCUCACUCUGGUGAAUGGUGUAAAUACCUUCCUGGGCAGAAAAUACCAGAUUCCGGCCGGCUCUGUAAUCCAGAACAAGGCAGGUGAGAACCGGCCACUGGAAGGUGAAGUCAGGCAAAUUAGAACCAAAGCUCGUGUUUGUAGAGAGGCCACAGGUGGUCUGGCAAAUAUCCAGGCCCCACAGUGCCCCACAGGCUCAUAUCCGGGCCCCACAGGCUUAUGGGCCCCACAGGGCCCCACAGGCUCAUAUCCGGGCCCCACGGGCUCAUGUUCUGAACAGGGCGGGUGAGUGAGCACUAGAACAAGCUCCCCAAGGCAGUGGGAGGUUCCCCAUCUCCGGGGGUCUGCAGCCCCAGCCUGGCGCCUCUCUGGCAGAGGGGGGCGUUAGCCAGACACAAGUUACUGGGCUCAGGGCAGGGGGGAACUGGCUGACGUUUGAUGGCCUGUGAUGUGCAGGUCGGACUAGUGGAUCUAAUGGCCCCUCCUGGCCUCAUACUCUGUGAAACUAUGAAAACCCGACAUUCCCCUGCACUGGGCCGGGCUGAGAUAACGUCCCUUGUCGAUGCAUCUUGGCGCGCAUGGCUGUGAUCAGUCCUCAGCGUGUCACAAGCCUGGUGCUGCCUGCCUCUCUCAUCCCAAUACAGUUCCACGCCUGAGCAGAGGACAGAGAGGAACCAGGAAGGCAGAGGUGGACAAUCAGCCGUUUCGAGGCCAUCAGAAGAGCGGGCGGACAGGAGCCGGGCCAAGGAGCUGACUCAUGAACCCGCUUCCCCUCCAGAUCUGGCCUGCCGGGGAGCCAGGACAGUGCCGCCAGCGGGAUCCCGGAGCCACCGGCCUCUGAACCGCACGGUCUGUCCCCACGGGAAACCGAGGAGGGAAGGCGGCUUCCGGGCUCACCCCUGGGAGAGAGAAAGGCAUCGGGGGGCAGGUAGAUGGUGGGUGAUGCUCCGUCCCUG
This 1141-nucleotide long non-coding RNA is filed under the name Gopherus agassizii (Agassiz's desert tortoise). RNAcentral describes it as "lncRNA (ENSGAGG00000000336.1)". The record is from RNAcentral. Lineage: Eukaryota; Metazoa; Chordata; Testudines; Testudinidae.